This 600-nucleotide ribosomal RNA is filed under the name uncultured fungus. RNAcentral describes it as "eukaryotic LSU rRNA". The stretch from base 206 to 359 matches the Rfam family "5.8S ribosomal RNA". The record is from RNAcentral. Lineage: Eukaryota; Fungi.
AAGGAUCAUUAACGAGUAACUGAACAGGUUGUAGCUGGCCUUUCGGGGCAUGUGCACACCUGGCUCAUCCACUCUUCAACCUCUGUGCACUUGUUGUAGGUCGGUAGAAGAGCGAGCAUCUAAUGCUUGCUUGGAAGCCUUCCUAUGUUUUACUACAAACGCUUCAGUUUAAGAAUGUUUAGCUGCGUAUAACGCAUUUAUAUACAACUUUCAGCAACGGAUCUCUUGGCUCUCGCAUCGAUGAAGAACGCAGCGAAAUGCGAUAAGUAAUGUGAAUUGCAGAAUUCAGUGAAUCAUCGAAUCUUUGAACGCACCUUGCGCUCCCUGGUAUUCCGGGGAGCAUGCCUGUUUGAGUGUCAUGGUAUUCUCAACCUUCAUAACUUUUGUUAUCGAAGGCUUGGACUUGGAGGUUGUGCUGGCUUCUAGUUAAGUCGGCUCCUCUUAAAUGUAUUAGCGUGAGUGUAACGGAUCGCUUCGGUGUGAUAAUUAUCUGCGCCGUGGUCGUGAAGUAACAUAAGCUUGCGCUUCUAACCGUCCUUCAGUUGGACAAUUACUUUGACAUCUGACCUCAAAUCAGGUAGGACUACCCGCUGAACUUAA